This 497-nucleotide ribosomal RNA is filed under the name uncultured bacterium. RNAcentral describes it as "partial 16S ribosomal RNA". It matches the Rfam family "Bacterial small subunit ribosomal RNA", at positions 28 to 507 of the family's 1533-position model. The record is from RNAcentral.
GACGAACGCUGGCGGCGUGCCUAAUACAUGCAAGUUGAGCGAUUAAGAUUGGUUCUUGCACCAAUUUGAAGAGCAGCGAAUGGGUGAUUACCACGUGGGUAAUCUGCCUUUGAGCGUGGGAUCACAUUUGGAAACGUAUGCUCAUACCCCAUAACAACUUUAAACAUAAGUUUUAAGUUUCAAAGCUGUAUUUGCUUCACUCAAGUCUGAUUCCCCGUUUUAUUAGCUAGUUGGUUAGGUAAAGGCUCACCAAGGCGAUGAUACAUAGCCGACCUGGUAAGGUGAUCGGCCAAAACGGGACUGAGACAAGGCCCAAAAUCCUAAGGGAAGGAGCAAGAGGGAAAUAUCGGAAAUGGACGAAAGGCUGGACGAGGAACGCCGCGGGAGGGAAGAAGGGUUUCGGAUCGGAAAACUAUGUUGGUAGGGAAGAAAGGGGGGGAGAGUGGAAAGCUCAUGAAGUGACGGUAACUACACAGAAAGGAACGGCUAACUACGUG